Molecule: ribosomal RNA, 414 nt
Filed under: Nocardioides sp.
Lineage: Bacteria; Bacillati; Actinomycetota; Actinomycetes; Propionibacteriales; Nocardioidaceae
Description: bacterial SSU rRNA
Rfam family: Bacterial small subunit ribosomal RNA
Source: RNAcentral
GUUUGAACCUGGCUCAGGACGAACGCUGGCGGCGUGCUUAACACAUGCAAGUCGAGCGGAAAGGCCACUUCGGUGGUACUCGAGCGGCGAACGGGUGAGUAACACGUGAGUAAUCUGCCCUCCACUUUGGGAUAGCCACCGGAAACGGUGAUUAAUACCGGAUAUGACCUGGUGCCGCAUGGUGCUUGGUGGAAAGUUUUUCGGUGGGGGAUGUGCUCGCGGCCUAUCAGCUUGAUGGUGGGGUAAUGGCCUACCAUGGCUUCGACGGGUAGCCGGCCUGAGAGGGUGACCGGCCACACUGGGACUGAGACACGGCCCAGACUCCUACGGGAGGCAGCAGUGGGGAAUAUUGGACAAUGGGCGGAAGCCUGAUCCAGCAACGCCGCGUGAGGGAUGACGGCCUUCGGGUUGUAA